GACGAACGCUGGCGGCGUGCCUAAUACAUGCAAGUAGAACGAACAGACGAGGAGUUUGUUCCUUGGACGAUUGGCGAGCAGGGGUGUAACACAUGUGGAACAUGCCCGUAAAAGACUGGGAAAUAUUGGGAACACUGGCGAAUAUCCCGGAUAAGAUAUUGAACCGUAUGGUUUAAUAGAGAAAGACGAUUUUGUUGUUACUAAUAGAUGGUUCCGGGCGGUAUUAGGUAGUUGGUAAGGUAACGGCUUACGACGGCAACGCUCCGUAGCCGACCGGAGAGGGUGAUCGCCCCAAUGGGAACGGGAACACGGUCCAGACUCCUACGGGAGGCAGCAGAAGGGAAUCUUCGGCAAUGGGCGAAAGCCUGACGGAGCAAGGCGGCGUGGGUGAUAAAGUUCUUCGGAUCGUAAGACUCUGUUAUUGGGGAAAAACAAUUUUGGAAGUAACUAUGCACGUCUUGACGGUACCUAAUCAGAAAGCCACGGCUAACUACGUG
Molecule: ribosomal RNA, 497 nt
Filed under: uncultured bacterium
Lineage: Bacteria
Description: partial 16S ribosomal RNA
Rfam family: Bacterial small subunit ribosomal RNA
Source: RNAcentral